This 269-nucleotide unclassified non-coding RNA is filed under the name Hevea brasiliensis (rubber tree). The record is from RNAcentral. Lineage: Eukaryota; Viridiplantae; Streptophyta; Magnoliopsida; Malpighiales; Euphorbiaceae.
CGCGCGUGGUCGAGGACGAUCCGGCGCUGAUCGCCGCGCUGAUGCCGAAGGAUUACAAGGCGAAGCCCGAACAGGCGAUCCUGUUCAAGAUCACCGCAUGGGACAGCAACUGCCCGCAGCACAUUCCCAUGAAGUUCGACGCGGCCGAUGUCGCGGCGGCGAUCGCGGCCCGCGAUGAGCGCAUCGCGGAGCUCGAGGCGGAAGUGGCGCAAUUAAAGGCGCGGUCACCUUGAAGACAUUCCUCCCUCUCCCCGCCUGCGGGGAGAGGG